AGCGAGCGCUGGCGGCAGGCUUAACACAUGCAAGUCGAGCGGGCCUUUCGGGGUCAGCGGCGGACGGGUGAGUAACGCGUGGGAACGUGCCCUCUGGUUCGGAAUAACUCAGGGAAACUUGAGCUAAUACCGGAUACGCCCUUUUGGGGAAAGGCUUGCUGCCGGAGGAUCGGCCCGCGUCUGAUUAGCUAGUUGGUGAGGUAACGGCUCACCAAGGCGACGAUCAGUAGCUGGUCUGAGAGGAUGAUCAGCCACACUGGGACUGAGACACGGCCCAGACUCCUACGGGAGGCAGCAGUGGGGAAUAUUGGACAAUGGGCGCAAGCCUGAUCCAGCCAUGCCGCGUGAGUGAUGAAGGCCUUAGGGUUGUAAAGCUCUUUUAUCCGGGACGAUAAUGACGGUACCGGAGGAAUAAGCCCCGGCUAACUUCGU
This 432-nucleotide ribosomal RNA is filed under the name uncultured bacterium. RNAcentral describes it as "partial 16S ribosomal RNA". It matches the Rfam family "Bacterial small subunit ribosomal RNA", at positions 29 to 506 of the family's 1533-position model. The record is from RNAcentral.